Molecule: ribosomal RNA, 495 nt
Filed under: uncultured bacterium
Lineage: Bacteria
Description: partial 16S ribosomal RNA
Rfam family: Bacterial small subunit ribosomal RNA
Source: RNAcentral
GACGAACGCUGGCGGCGUGCCUAAUACAUGCAAGUAGAACGCUGAAGGAGGAGCUUGCUUCUCCGGAUGAGUUGCGAACGGGUGAGUAACGCGUAGGUAACCUGCCUGGUAGCGGGGGAUAACUAUUGGAAACGAUAGCUAAUACCGCAUAAGAGUAGAUGUUGCAUGACAUUUGCUUAAAAGGUGCAAUUGCAUCACUACCAGAUGGACCUGCGUUGUAUUAGCUAGUUGGUGAGGUAACGGCUCACCAAGGCGACGAUACAUAGCCGACCUGAGAGGGUGAUCGGCCACACUGGGACUGAGACACGGCCCAGACUCCUACGGGAGGCAGCAGUAGGGAAUCUUCGGCAAUGGACGGAAGUCUGACCGAGCAACGCCGCGUGAGUGAAGAGGGUUUUCGGAUCGUAAAGCUCUGUUGUAAGAGAAGAGCGAGUGUGAGAGUGGAAAGUUCACACUGUGACGGUAUCUUACCAGAAAGGGACGGCUAACUACGUG